AUGCUCCAGCCAAGCACAAGAAGUCUAGAUGUUGGCAAAUCCAGACUUUGUUCAGCAGAUGAACAAGGGCACCAGCGCCCAAAGUUCUUACUGUCUUUCUGCUUUGUCGCCCUCAGGGUGGCAGCCACACCCUUCAAGGUGCUGCUCCAACAGCUUCCAUUCUCUCCUAGGAGGACCUUAUCAGGAAGGAAGGAGAUGAAUGCAGAACAGCCCUUCUCCUCGUGGAGGAAAUCCUUCCCAGGAAUCCAUGAGUCUCACUGGCUAGAGCUGGAUCAUGUAGCUCACCCCUGGGCCAAUCAGAGGCAAGUGAGGUACCAUAUCUGGACUCAGGCCGAUCAUGAUUUUUCCUCUCGAUCUGGGCCCUGGCAACCCAAACAUAGGUGGGAUUCUACUCAGAAGGGAGGAGGAAGAGCUGUUGAGGGGGAGACAGCUCCCAGACCCUUAUUUCUAGCCCUGACAGUUCUGUCAUCUGAUUGCAUCUUCCCAACUGUCUGGACUACCUACCUCAAUGUCCUGUUGCCUCAAACACAGUCUGUCAGGGGGAAAUUCCUUUUCCCAUCUAAUAGGUUUAGCAAACACCUUCAUUGUAAGAGACUGCAUACCCAUAAAAAAAGAAGUAUGGUAGAGCAUUUAAAUUAUUGAUUAGAGCUUUAUCUAAUCAUAAAGUAUGGUAGUUUGAGCAUUCUUUGGCAUUGCCUUUCUUUGGAAUUGAAAUGAAAACUGACCUUUUCCAGUCCUGUGGCCACUGCUGAGUUUUCCAAAUUUGCUGGCAUAUUGAGUGCAGCACUUUCACAGCAUCAUCUUUCAGGAUUUGAAACAGCUCAACUGGAAUUCCAUCACCUCCACUAGCUUUGUUCGUAGUGAUGCUUUCUAAGGCCCACUUGACUUCACAUUCCAGGAUGUCUGGCUCUAGAUGAGUGAUCACA
RNAcentral lists this long non-coding RNA (926 nucleotides) under Ovis aries (sheep). RNAcentral describes it as "lncRNA (ENSOARG00000025648.1)". Lineage: Eukaryota; Metazoa; Chordata; Mammalia; Artiodactyla; Bovidae. The record is from RNAcentral.